AAAUAACAUUCGUGAAUUUUUCGCGGAUUUGAGUUUUCCAGUAUUUUUUAUAAAUAAAAAUGUUGGUAACUUUAAAAUUAUUUAUUACUUGGUACAAGUUGAAAACGUGCUAUAUGUGUGGUUCGCUGACAACUUGUCCAUCUUUAUAUAUUAUGCGCGCACUUAGUUAUUAAUACUUUCUGCGAGUAUAUAUUUUUU
This 198-nucleotide unclassified non-coding RNA is filed under the name uncultured Diversispora. RNAcentral's name for it is "partial internal transcribed spacer 2". Lineage: Eukaryota; Fungi; Glomeromycota; Glomeromycetes; Diversisporales; Diversisporaceae. The record is from RNAcentral.